AUGUUUAUACUCAUAUCUGUAUGCAAAUAGUAAAGACCGUCAAUCAAGAAAGCACGUGUAACAAUUUUAUUUCCAAAAUAAAUUGAAGACAUGUCUUUAUUGAAAUAAAAAUUAUAAUUAUCCUAUGCCAGCACAGAGAUAGAAAAUAAAUUUCUACUAACUACAGGUACAUAAUAAUAGUCUUUCAAAAGCAAACUGAGUCUUAAUGGU
RNAcentral lists this long non-coding RNA (210 nucleotides) under Elaeis guineensis (African oil palm). RNAcentral's name for it is "long non-coding RNA (EGUI_LNC007957)". Lineage: Eukaryota; Viridiplantae; Streptophyta; Magnoliopsida; Arecales; Arecaceae. The record is from RNAcentral.